UACGUAGGUGGCAAGCGUUAUCCGGAAUUAUUGGGCGUAAAGCGCGCGCAGGUGGUUUCUUAAGUCUGAUGUGAAAGCCCACGGCUCAACCGUGGAGGGUCAUUGGAAACUGGGGGACUUGAGUGCAGAAGAGGAGAGUGGAAUUCCACGUGUAGCGGUGAAAUGCGUAGAGAUGUGGAGGAACACCAGUGGCGAAGGCGACUCUCUGGUCUGUAACUGACGCUGAGGAGCGAAAGCGUGGGGAGCGAACAGG
RNAcentral lists this ribosomal RNA (253 nucleotides) under uncultured bacterium. Its description in RNAcentral is "partial 16S ribosomal RNA". It matches the Rfam family "Bacterial small subunit ribosomal RNA", at positions 524 to 776 of the family's 1533-position model. The record is from RNAcentral.